Molecule: long non-coding RNA, 1507 nt
Filed under: Marmota monax (woodchuck)
Lineage: Eukaryota; Metazoa; Chordata; Mammalia; Rodentia; Sciuridae
Source: RNAcentral
CCUGGGGGACAGCACCUGGUCCUGGGGCUGGCAUGGGCUGAGUCAUUGGCACAGUAUAGCGGGGACGUGGGUCUGUGAAGGGAAGGGUGUUGCACACUGGGCGGCCACACUCAGUGUGGGUCUCACGUGUGUGAGGGGGAAAUGAUAAGCUGGAGGCUGCACCCUGGUUGCUCUGGAACCAGGGUUGGGCCUGGGGCCAGGCCUUCCCCUACCCUGUCCUGGUCUACCAGUUCUUGAAGGGCGUCUGCCCACCAUGGCUGUGGGGCCCCUCAGAUCUCAUCAGACACCCGGGGAACUGAGCCUACCUCCUGCUCGCCUUUUCCUCCCCUCUAGCCCCAGGGCUGCCCAAAUCACACUUUGAGGCCUCCAACCUUUAGGGUUGCCUCCCUUGGAGGUUCCUGGCUCUUUCUAUGGAACUUCAUGUCCAGUUCCAGCUGGGGCUCUUUGAAACCCUGUCUGGCCUUUUUUUCCCAGGGAGCUGGCUCCUGCCUCUGUCCCCUGCUGACCCAACUCCCCUGUCUAUGGAGACUCCCCUCUGGCCUGUGGGGAUGCAGGCUGGAAGCCCUCUUGUGGUAGCAGAGCCUGAGCCCAGGGCCGAGGGCCAGGAGGGGUGGAGGUGGUCCCAGGAGGAGGGCAGCAGAGAUGAGGAGCAGGGAGAGGGAGCCAGGCCCACAGCAAGAGCCAGCAAGAGCCUGUGACCCUGAGGAUGUUACGGUAGCUUGACUCCCGGGGGCUCUGGGUAGGGCAUACGGUGCCUUUGAGAGUGUCCUUUCAAAGGACAGGGAAUUGGGGCAUUUAUCACCUGGGUUUCUCCCCCACUGGUGGAGCUCACCCCCAGGGGUGUUAAUGCCACCCUCCUCCUGGCAGACCCUGCAGUGGGCAGAAGUGACAACUGGUGCUGUUGUUUAGGGAACAAGCCCUGAGUCAGAAAAAUAGAGACAAGGGCAGGCUCUGGUUUGAGGUGGGAAACAGCUGCCUACUGUGGAAUCAUCCACCAUUGUUGCAGUCUAGGUGGCCAAGAGAUGUCACCAAGGUGCCAACAGCCAUGUUGUUCUCGUCUCAUACUUGUGCCAUCAUCCUGUCUCUCAUGGGUGGUGAACAUCCUUUAAAACCUCACAUACGAGGUGGUUCUCAGCUGUCCACCCAUACCUGAAGGGGCUUAGAGGCUCCCUACACUCAGGGAACUGACUUUGGUUGGGCUACUUAUUGGGGGACACCCGAUGUCCAUUUCUUUGGUCAUUUCUCUUGGGCUGGUCAGAUGCUCCAGAGAAAACUUUUCUGUCUCCAUGACUCUGCCUGAAUGUUUUAUGGCUGGAAUGGAAUGGCACGCAGCCUUUCCAGAUUGGCUUCUUGCAGUUAAUAAUACGCGUAUAAAUUCCUUCGUGUCUUUUCAUGGCUUGACAGCUCAUUUCUUUGUAGCAUGGCAUAAUAAUCCAUUGUCUGAUGUAUUACGAUUUAGUUAUCCAUUCACCGGCCGAAGGACAUCUUGUUUGCUUCCAGAUUUUGG